This 1331-nucleotide long non-coding RNA is filed under the name Sus scrofa (pig). RNAcentral's name for it is "lncRNA (ENSSSCG00005020794.1)". Lineage: Eukaryota; Metazoa; Chordata; Mammalia; Artiodactyla; Suidae. The record is from RNAcentral.
AAUAGAAAUGAUGUACAUUAAACUACUGUGUAUAUUAAUUAUUUCAAACACUACCAUAUAGCACUUUUAAGUGUUCUGUAAGCAAAAAAUAUAUAUAGUUGUGGUUAUCAUGCAAACCACAAGAACCCUCCAAGGUUGUAAGUAGUUUGGGAUUAUUUUGGUCCUCUUUUUGAAGUUUUCUGCGUAAUGGUUUUCCUUUGGGGAUGUUAUUACUACUGCUAUAAAUCUAGAACUUAACUAUUGAUACUUGUGUUUUGAAAACAGUGUUCACCUUUGGACAUUAUCCAUGUUUGGAGAGUGGCAUACCACUUUACCUGUGCUUAUUGUGAACACAGGAAUUUGCCCCAAAUUUCUAUCUUUUUGUAGAUGGAUUGUAGCACAAUAAUUAAUGAAUUUUCAGUGGUACCGCUCAAUAUUUUGGGAACUUUGCAAACCUAAGUAUCAGAUGUACUUUUUUUUUUUUUAAUUGGUUAUUACCAUGUAACACAGUGUCUUCUCUUUAGCCAAACUGGUGAACAAACAUAUAGAAUUGUUUCACUGAUGUGGAAUGUUGACUACCGGCAGUUUUAUAAGUACAAGUCAGAAAGAGGCAGGACAGAUGGCCUCUUGUACUGAACGCUUCAAGAACUUAAUUUGUCCUAGUUUUCUGACAAAGACUUGACUCUGGUUUUCAUAGAGCUUGGUUUUUACCUAUCAUAGAGCAGAUUAGAUGGUAGUGAUGCACUGGUAGAGAUGGUUUUUAGUUAUUGACUCAGAAUUCAUCUCAUGAUUGAAUCUUUUAUGUUGUUUUACUGUAUGUAUAUCUACAUUGACUUAAUAAACAUGGGUUUAGUAACUUUGUGUUAAAAUUUGGCCUGGUAACAAUUAUUUCAUUUUUACCUAUCAAGGAGUAGAAAAAUCUCCAUGUAUUGGUAUGUGUAUAUUGACGUUAUUUGGUACUCAUGUGAUAUGUGAAAUAAAAUGGAUUUUUCUACAGCUUAAUGAUUUCCCUCUGGGGAGAGUUCUGGUACAGCAAUCACACUGCCAGAUGGUGUUUAUGGGCUAUUUAUGUAAGUGGUAAGAUACUAUGAAAUAAAGGGUGCUUUCAUCAGAUGGAAACUCUUGAUGCAUGUGUUUUUGUGUGGAAUAAACUUGGGUGCAAUGUGAUGUCACUCCAUGUUGCAUUAAAUUUAAUUUCAAUUAUAUUUAUGUAGACGUAUAUCUGUCAUGCUUCUAGUUGCUUCAACCUUUGUAUCUAUAUAUUUUUUACUUAUUUUAAUAGAAAAUAUUUUAAGUGGAAAUUGAAUAAAAAUUUGAUAGUUUAAUAAAAGUCAUUGCGGUUUUUAAAAAAA